Molecule: ribosomal RNA, 253 nt
Filed under: uncultured bacterium
Lineage: Bacteria
Description: partial 16S ribosomal RNA
Rfam family: Bacterial small subunit ribosomal RNA
Source: RNAcentral
UACGUAGGGACCAAGCGUUGUUCGGAUUUACUGGGCGUAAAGGGCGCGUAGGCGGCAAUUCAAGUCAUCUGUGAAAUCUCCGGGCUUAACUCGGAACGGUCAAGUGAUACUGUCAGACUAGAGUGCAGAAGGGGCAACUGGAAUUCUCGGUGUAGCGGUGAAAUGCGUAGAUAUCGAGAGGAACACCUGCGGCGAAGGCGGGUUGCUGGGCUGACACUGACGCUGAGGCGCGAAAGCUAGGGGAGCGAACGGG